RNAcentral lists this long non-coding RNA (750 nucleotides) under Felis catus (domestic cat). RNAcentral describes it as "lncRNA (ENSFCAG00000047520.1)". Lineage: Eukaryota; Metazoa; Chordata; Mammalia; Carnivora; Felidae. The record is from RNAcentral.
CUUGGCUUGUGUGACGUCUGCUCAGAGAGCCAGUCCCAGCUGCCUUGCUUGCUGCGCAUGCGCGCGUGUAUCCGGGCGUGCCGCGGUGCCGCUGCUUUCGGGACUCGGGUCUUUGCAGAGCAGGUGGGGACAGGAACGGGGUGGGGCUUGGCGUUAGUGUUUCCGCUAGAGUUUAGUCUUUGUGUAGGCUUCAUGGUGGGAGAAUUUCCUCCCGGGACAGUAGUAGCAGCGUUUUAGACUGGAAGAAAGCCCAUAAAUUGCCUUUCGGAUCCUAGCCAUCCAGAGGCAUCUUUUAAGAAGUUUCUCUCGGAAUGGGGCCUUCCCAAUCCUGUUAGAGCGCAAUGCCAUACUUUUAGAAGAUGUCAGUGCUGUGGAAUGAGAUGGCCAACCAUCAUAUGUAUGCUGCAACUCAGAGAUACAGCUGUGAAUUCUCAGAAUACGUUCUACUAUGCCUUAGACAAAACUCAACCAUUCUCUUCCAUGAUGUAGAAUGGCUACUAAAAAGGAAGAAGAAAAGAAAGCUUUCAGAGGACAGUGGUAAACAAAUGCAUUAUGAUUUACUUAACAGGGAACUGUAAGUUUUUUAUGUCCAAGAACAUAGAACUUGCUUUUUUAAAAUACUUUCUAAAAAUUUUCUUUUCUUUUGUUUCUUUCUCCCCCCCCCAGAAGAGCUAUAGAGGUGAGUUGUAUAUUUUUUCUUCUGCUCUUUUUUUUUUUAAUUGAAAUAUAAUUAACAUACAGUGUUAUGUU